RNAcentral lists this ribosomal RNA (460 nucleotides) under uncultured bacterium. RNAcentral describes it as "partial 16S ribosomal RNA". It matches the Rfam family "Bacterial small subunit ribosomal RNA", at positions 338 to 795 of the family's 1533-position model. The record is from RNAcentral.
CCUACGGGUGGCAGCAGUGAGGAAUAUUGGUCAAUGGGCGCGAGCCUGAACCAGCCAAGUAGCGUGAAGGAUGACUGUCCUACGGGUUGUAAACUUCUUUUAUAAAGGAAUAAAGUGAGGCACGUGUGCCUUUUUGAAUGUACUUUAUGAAUAAGGAUAGGCUAACUCCGUGCCAGCAGCCGCGGUAAUACGGAGGAUCCGAGCGUUAUCCGGAUUUAUUGGGUUUAAAGGGGGCGUAGAUGGGUUGUUAAGUCAGUUGUGAAAGUUUGGGGCUCAACCGUAAAAGUGCAAUUGAUACUGGCAGCCUUGAGUACAGGUGAGGUAGGCGGAAUUCGUGGUGUAGCGGUGAAAUGCUUAGAUAUCACGAAGAACUCCGAUUGCGAAGGCAGCUUACUAAACUGCCACUGACAUUGAUGCUCGAAAGUGUGGGUAUCAAACAGGAUUAGAUACCCUUGUAGUC